Molecule: microRNA, 23 nt
Filed under: Limulus polyphemus (Atlantic horseshoe crab)
Lineage: Eukaryota; Metazoa; Arthropoda; Merostomata; Xiphosura; Limulidae
Description: Lpo-Mir-2-P2m_3p (mature (guide))
Source: RNAcentral
UAUCACAGCCAUCUUGACGUGUC